RNAcentral lists this ribosomal RNA (466 nucleotides) under uncultured bacterium. RNAcentral describes it as "bacterial SSU rRNA". It matches the Rfam family "Bacterial small subunit ribosomal RNA", at positions 338 to 795 of the family's 1533-position model. The record is from RNAcentral.
CCUACGGGUUGCACCAGUAGGGAAUCUUCCGCAAUGGACGAAAGUCUGACGGAGCAACGCCGCGUGAGUGAUGAAGGCUUUCGGGUCGUAAAACUCUGUUGUUAGGGAAGAACAAGUGCUAGUUGGAUAAGCUGGCACCUUGACGGUACCUAACCAGAAAGCCACGGCUAACUACGUGCCAGCAGCCGCGGUAAUGCGUAGGUGGCAAGCGUUAUCCGGAAUUAUUGGGCGUAAAGCGCGCGCAGGUGGUUUCUUAAGUCUGAUGUGAAAGCCCACGGCUCAACCGUGGAGGGUCAUUGGAAACUGGGAGACUUGAGUGCAGAAGAGGAAAGUGGAAUUCCAUGUGUAGCGGUGAAAUGCGUAGAGAUAUGGAGGAAUACCGGUGGCGAAGGCGGCCCCCUGGACGAAGACUGACGCUCAGGUGCGAAAGCGUGGGGAGCAAACAGGAUUAGAUACCCGAGUAGUC